GAGUUUGAUCCUGGCUCAGGAUGAACGCUAGCGGCAGGCCUAACACAUGCAAGUCGAGGGGUAACGGGGUAGCUUGCUACCGCCGACGACCGGCGCACGGGUGCGUAACGCGUAUACAAUCUACCUUAUAGAGGGGAAUAGCCCAGAGAAAUUUGGAUUAAUGCCCCAUAGUAUUAUUGAUUAGCAUUAUUUAAUAAUUAAACAUUUAUGGCUAUAAGAUGAGUAUGCGUUCUAUUAGCUAGAUGGUAAGGUAACGGCUUACCAUGGCAACGAUAGAUAGGGGUCCUGAGAGGGAGAUCCCCCACACUGGUACUGAGACACGGACCAGACUCCUACGGGAGGCAGCAGUGAGGAAUAUUGGACAAUGGGAGCAAUCCUGAUCCAGCCAUGCCGCGUGCAGGAAGACAGUCCUAUGGAUUGUAAACUGCUUUUAUACAGGAAGAAAAAAUCUGACUUGUCAGGUAUUGACGGUACUGUAUGAAUAAGAAUCGGCUAACUCCGUGCCAGCAGCCGCGGUAAUACGGAGGAUUCAAGCGUUAUCCGGAAUCAUUGGGUUUAAAGGGUUCGUAGGCGGGACGAUAAGUCAGUGGUGAAAGUUUGUGGCUCAACCAUAAAAUUGCCAUUGAUACUGUUGUUCUUGAGUUAUUGUGAAGUGGUUAGAAUGUGUAGUGUAGCGGUGAAAUGCAUAGAUAUUACACAGAACACCAAUUGCGAAGGCAUAUCACUAACAAUAUACUGACGCUGAUGAACGAAAGCGUAGGUAGCCAACAGGAUUAGAUACCCUGGUAGUCUACGCUGUAAACGAUGGUUACUAGCUGUUCGGAGCACAUUAGUGCACUGAGUGGUUAAGCGAAAGUGAUAAGUAACCCACCUGGGGAGUACGUUUGCAAGAAUGAAACUCAAAGGAAUUGACGGGGGCCCGCACAAGCGGUGGAGCAUGUGGUUUAAUUCGAUGAUACGCGAGGAACCUUACCAAGGCUUAAAUG
RNAcentral lists this ribosomal RNA (986 nucleotides) under uncultured Bacteroidota bacterium. RNAcentral's name for it is "bacterial SSU rRNA". It matches the Rfam family "Bacterial small subunit ribosomal RNA", at positions 9 to 987 of the family's 1533-position model. Lineage: Bacteria; Pseudomonadati; Bacteroidota. The record is from RNAcentral.